UACGGAGGGGGUUAGCGUUGUUCGGAAUUACUGGGCGUAAAGCGCGCGUAGGCGGAUUAGAAAGUUGGGGGUGAAAUCCCGGGGCUCAACCCCGGAACGGCCUCCAAAACUCCUGGUCUUGAGUUCGAGAGAGGUGAGUGGAAUUCCGAGUGUAGAGGUGAAAUUCGUAGAUAUUCGGAGGAACACCAGUGGCGAAGGCGGCUCACUGGCUCGAUACUGACGCUGAGGUGCGAAAGUGUGGGGAGCAAACAGG
This 253-nucleotide ribosomal RNA is filed under the name uncultured bacterium. RNAcentral describes it as "partial 16S ribosomal RNA". It matches the Rfam family "Bacterial small subunit ribosomal RNA", at positions 524 to 776 of the family's 1533-position model. The record is from RNAcentral.